CCUACGGGAGGCAGCAGUGGGGAAUAUUGGGCAAUGGGCGCAAGCCUGACCCAGCAACGCCGCGUGAAGGAAGAAGGCUUUCGGGUUGUAAACUUCUUUUGGCAGGGAAGAGCAGAAGACGGUACCUGUCGAAUAAGCCACGGCUAACUACGUGCCAGCAGCCGCGGUAAUACGUAGGUGGCAAGCGUUGUCCGGAUUUACUGGGGGUAAAGGGCGUGUAGCCGGGGUGACAAGUCAGAUGUGAAAUCCGGGGGCUCAACCCCCGAACUGCAUUUGAAACUGUUGGUCUUGAGUAUCGGAGAGGCAGGCGGAAUUCCUAGUGUAGCGGUGAAAUGCGUAGAUAUUAGGAGGAACACCAGUGGCGAAGGCGGCCUGCUGGACGACAACUGACGGUGAGGCGCGAAAGCGUGGGGAGCAAACAGGAUUAGAUACCCCAGUAGUC
RNAcentral lists this ribosomal RNA (442 nucleotides) under uncultured bacterium. Its description in RNAcentral is "partial 16S ribosomal RNA". It matches the Rfam family "Bacterial small subunit ribosomal RNA", at positions 338 to 795 of the family's 1533-position model. The record is from RNAcentral.